GAGAACUGAAGUGUCAGAGUUUCAAUAAAAAACUGGAAGAACUGCACUAUGGAGAAGCACUUGAACAUCAAAGAUUUAAACAAGGUGUUUAAUGAUCCCAUCCAUGGCCACAUCGAGUUACAUCCACUACUUGUCAAGAUCAUAGACACACCUCAGUUUCAGAGACUACGAAACAUAAAGCAGCUUGGGGGCGGUUAUUUCGUUUUUCCAGGAGCAUCGCACAACCGCUUUGAACACUCAAUAGGGGUGGGGCACUUAGCAGGAGAACUUGCAAAAACUCUGAAGCUGAAACAGCCAGAACUCGACAUCAGUGAACGAGACGUCCUUUGUG
Maylandia zebra (zebra mbuna) is the source of this 331-nucleotide non-coding RNA. The record is from RefSeq and is a predicted model, not a curated record. Lineage: Eukaryota; Metazoa; Chordata; Actinopteri; Cichliformes; Cichlidae.